RNAcentral lists this transfer RNA (73 nucleotides) under Cavia porcellus (domestic guinea pig). It matches the Rfam family "tRNA". Rfam says of the family: Transfer RNA (tRNA) molecules are approximately 80 nucleotides in length. Their secondary structure includes four short double-helical elements and three loops (D, anti-codon, and T loops). The record is from Rfam by way of RNAcentral. Lineage: Eukaryota; Metazoa; Chordata; Mammalia; Rodentia; Caviidae.
GGUGUUGUGGUUCAGUGGUAGAGUUCUUGUCUUACAUGUAUAAGGCCCUGGGUUCAAUCCCCAGCACUCAUCA